GCCUUUAUGGCCAAGUUGGUAAGGCACCUCACUAGUAAUGAGGAGAUCCUCAGUUCGAAUCUGAGUGAAGGCA
RNAcentral lists this transfer RNA (73 nucleotides) under Lizanozyma spartinae. Its description in RNAcentral is "Scheffersomyces spartinae tRNA". It matches the Rfam family "tRNA". From Rfam's summary of the family: Transfer RNA (tRNA) molecules are approximately 80 nucleotides in length. Lineage: Eukaryota; Fungi; Ascomycota; Pichiomycetes; Serinales; Debaryomycetaceae. The record is from Rfam by way of RNAcentral.